This 402-nucleotide ribosomal RNA is filed under the name bacterium. RNAcentral's name for it is "partial 16S ribosomal RNA". It matches the Rfam family "Bacterial small subunit ribosomal RNA", at positions 355 to 776 of the family's 1533-position model. The record is from RNAcentral.
UGGGGAAUUUUGCACAAUGGGGGAAACCCUGAUGCAGCGACGCCGCGUGAUUUAGAAGGCCUUCGGGUUGUAAAAAUCUUUUCUAUGGGAAGAAAAUGACAGUACCAUAGGAAUAAGGACCGGCUAAUUACGUGCCAGCAGCCGCGGGAAUACGUAAGGUCCGAGGGUUGUCCGGAAUCAUUGGGCGUAAAGGGUACGUAGGCGGGUAAGCAAGUUAGAAGUGAAAUCCUAUAGCUCAACUAUAGUAGGCUUUUAAAACUGCACAUCUGGAGGUAUGGAAGGGAAAGUGGAAUUCCUAGUGUAGCGGUGAAAUGCGCAGAUAUUAGGAGGAAUACCGGUGGCGAAGGCGACUUUCUGGCCAUAACCUGACGCUGAGGUACGAAAGCGUGGGUAGCAAACAGG